Molecule: ribosomal RNA, 431 nt
Filed under: uncultured bacterium
Lineage: Bacteria
Description: partial 16S ribosomal RNA
Rfam family: Bacterial small subunit ribosomal RNA
Source: RNAcentral
AACGAACGCUGGCGGCAGGCCUAACACAUGCAAGUCGAGCGCCCCGCCAGGGGAGCGGCGGACGGGUGAGUAACGCGUGGGAAUAUGCCCUUUGCUACGGAAUAGUCUCGGGAAACUGGGGGUAAUACCGUAUACGCCCUUUGGGGGAAAGAUUUAUCGGCGAAGGAUUAGCCCGCGUUGGAUUAGGUAGUUGGUGGGGUAAUGGCCUACCAAGCCGACGAUCCAUAGCUGGUUUGAGAGGAUGAUCAGCCACACUGGGACUGAGACACGGCCCAGACUCCUACGGGAGGCAGCAGUGGGGAAUCUUAGACAAUGGGGGCAACCCUGAUCUAGCCAUGCCGCGUGAGUGAUGAAGGCCUUAGGGUUGUAAAGCUCUUUCAGGUGGGAAGAUAAUGACGGUACCAGCAGAAGAAGCCCCGGCUAACUCCGUG